UACGUAGGGUGCAAGCGUUGUCCGGAAUUAUUGGGCGUAAAGAGCUCGUAGGCGGUUUGUCGCGUCUGCUGUGAAAACUCGGGGCUUAACCCCGGGCCUGCAAUGGGUACGGGCAGACUAGAGUGCGGUAGGGGAGACUGGAAUUCCUGGUGUAGCGGUGAAAUGCGCAGAUAUCAGGAGGAACACCAAUUGCGAAGGCAGCUCGCUGGGACGUUACUGACGCUGAGACGCGAAAGCGUGGGGAGCAAACAGG
RNAcentral lists this ribosomal RNA (253 nucleotides) under uncultured bacterium. RNAcentral's name for it is "partial 16S ribosomal RNA". It matches the Rfam family "Bacterial small subunit ribosomal RNA", at positions 524 to 776 of the family's 1533-position model. The record is from RNAcentral.